This 921-nucleotide long non-coding RNA is filed under the name Aquilegia coerulea. Its description in RNAcentral is "long non-coding RNA (ACOE_LNC002135)". Lineage: Eukaryota; Viridiplantae; Streptophyta; Magnoliopsida; Ranunculales; Ranunculaceae. The record is from RNAcentral.
AAAGCAAACCAUUACGACGUUACAAAGUUCAUAACCAACAUGACUGGAGGAAAAACAACAAAUUACAACACCAAAAUGUUUUGCAUCACUUAACCCUAAAUUAACAUAAACUGAGCAUCACCAAACUGUCAACAUAAGCCGAGCAUCACCAAAAUGAAUUGAAAGGCCACAAACUAAAUGUACUGCAUCACCUAACUGCAAACAAAAUAAAAAGAAAAAAAAAUUUAUUUUUGUAGCAUAAUGACCUUCUCCAUUCUCCAAUCAAUAAAUGUCGAAGAAUAAAACAUAAUCACCUGGAUAACAUAGCAUAUUAUAUAUAUAACUGAAAAAAGAGCAUCAACAUAUGAAAAGGAGCAUCAACUAGCUAGUCUACACAAAUACACAAUCUUCUUCUUAAUAUCAUUUGCGUGCAAUAAGAUGAUAGUAAGCCUUUUAUUUCACAUGGAUCACAUGAAAAAAAUGAACUUAAGUUGAAGAUCUUACCAAUUACCAAUAAGCCAACACAAUAAUCCAACAUUCCAACAAGCCAACAACAUAACCUGAAAUCAAAUUCAAACACACACGUUAAGACUGAUAUUUAGAAAAGUAAUACAAAAUUCAUAAAGUUAAACAAGAUAACACAAAAUUAUAACUAUUCAAGAUGUUACUAUAUACUUACAUCGUCAAACUUAUUUUAAACUUGAAACUCAGCCCGCAACCAAUUUGAGGCACAAAGAAGUCCUUCAACUGUGUCAUCACCUAAUGAAGCUCGAACAUCGUCAAACUUAUUUUGUUUACAUGUAUUGAUGUUACCUCAAGCAAGAAAAAAUAGAUAUGAAUGAUACUAGGUAACAAAUAGAUAUGAAUACCAUAAACACAAGAGUUAAGACCACCGAUUAUUAUUAAACAUACCAAGUAUUAUUACACAGUAAUGUAGUUUUC